AACCUGGAAAAUUACUAGAAAUCUUGGUUUUGUUCCUAGCUUCGAUGCUCGAACACUCCACCACAAGUCAGUUGGAUUUGUUCUUCACAAUUCUUGAUCAGACAGGUAGAUAAAAAAAACAAGGAAAUAAAAUACUAUGAUCUAACGUAAGGUUAGAUCCAUUAAAAAUUACACAAUAGUUUCCGGUGUAGAAACUAUUGUGAGAAAAUAAAUCGAAUGCUUAGUAAAUUAAGC
This 234-nucleotide long non-coding RNA is filed under the name Lathyrus oleraceus (garden pea). RNAcentral describes it as "Pisum sativum (pea) long non-coding RNA (PSAT_LNC040839)". Lineage: Eukaryota; Viridiplantae; Streptophyta; Magnoliopsida; Fabales; Fabaceae. The record is from RNAcentral.